Cucurbita pepo subsp. pepo (vegetable marrow) is the source of this 967-nucleotide non-coding RNA. Lineage: Eukaryota; Viridiplantae; Streptophyta; Magnoliopsida; Cucurbitales; Cucurbitaceae. The record is from RefSeq and is a predicted model, not a curated record.
AUNGAACAGAAAUAUACCGCAGAGAAGGUUUUUGAUAUUCUCAAGGAAGCCUGGAAUAAGUUCAGCAAAGAGGAACUUUAGACACAUCUUGGAUGAUUCUUUUCUUCAACCACCAUUUCACCUGCAAAGUAUGAAUAUUCUACUCAGGGAGAGACGACUAAACUAGCAUUACAAUCGUCGGCUGUUUUCUUCAGGUCGGUCUGGAGGCCAUGGCGGCCAUAAUCGUGUUCAACAUAUUGUCAGAGAAAGAACUAAAUGGUCGUCAUUACUUGACAUUGGGGUAAUACUUGGAUCCCAUAGGUUAAACCAUAGUUUCAUACCCAAAUUAUAUUGUGAUUUAUCUCGUUCCCCAAUAAAAUAGAGCUGAUGAUUCUUUAAAUUUGCACCAGAUUCAUUGUUUUUGUAGAGUUUAUUUCUUCCAUUUUUCCUCUUUCUUUCUCCUGGGAAGGAGUUGUGGGUUAAAAGUUGAAACAUCUUCCAUCCUUCCUGUAUUUUGCUGAACUGUACAUUCAACAUUUUGUAUUGUAUGUUGCAGGAGUAUCCUUGAGUUGUGUAACAUGUGGAAACUUUUCUCAUUAACUUUCUCAUUCUUUUUCCAGAAUGGUUCUUUCCUGGAGCCUAAGUGAACCGGUUAAAACAUGUUAUUGAAUAAAAGAGAAUAUGGAGAGUUCUGUGCUUGAAAAGGAAACAUAUCAGUGAGCUCGUGGAGACUUGCUUGGAUUUGAAUUGGCAAAAUGGAAUCUUGAGUUGCUGUAAGCUGGCAGGAGUUGGAUGGUUCCUUGUAUAACUUUGGAGAGUUUAGAUUCUUGAAAAGUAGAGGGAUGGGAAAAGAAAGCGAGUGGGAGAACGUUGUGAGAGCGAGCUUCUACUUUCUCUAGGAGAUAACUCGUUCGCACGUGUAAAGUUAAGAAAUUAAACUCAUAUUUGCUUGCUAGGGUUUGCUUAUCUCGAGCUAUAAAUACGUUAA